This is a long non-coding RNA of Drosophila willistoni, 408 nucleotides long. RefSeq lists it as uncharacterized. NCBI's taxonomy places the organism in Eukaryota, Metazoa, Arthropoda, Insecta, Diptera, Drosophilidae. The transcript is spliced from 2 exons. The record is from RefSeq and is a predicted model, not a curated record.
GUCACUUCGUCAUAACUUUCUCGAAUUCGCUCGGGAUGCUCUCUCUUAAGUCCUGUUUCUCUCAAAUAAAACAACAACAACCACAAGGCCCAAUUCGCUCCGCCAUCCCGAAUAUCGGCGAAGCUUUUUCAAUAAGCAGCAAAUUCGCAAAGGCAAAGCGCAGCAACGUCGAACCAAUGGCCGAAAUGAUUUUUGGUGACGAUAACUUUAGAGGUGUUCUUAACUAAUUCGCUAAUGCUGAUUCUGACUACGUACUCGCUUGUUGGCCAUCACAUCCAGAUUUUGUGAAAUCAGAGGAUCUGGGAUUGGAAAAUAGUCUUCCAAAAGUAUUCUAGAGAAAGUUAUAAAUUGUUUUUCUUUAUUUUUAACAGAUUUUACAUCAUCCUGUUCAAGAAAAAUAGCCUUGUU